This 272-nucleotide ribosomal RNA is filed under the name uncultured bacterium. RNAcentral's name for it is "partial 16S ribosomal RNA". It matches the Rfam family "Bacterial small subunit ribosomal RNA", at positions 525 to 795 of the family's 1533-position model. The record is from RNAcentral.
ACGGAGGGUGCAAGCGUUAUCCGGAAUCACUGGGUUUAAAGGGUGCGUAGGCGGCACAAUAAGUCAGAAAGGGAAAAGGCUGUAGCUUAACUAUGGAAUUGCUUUUGAUACUGUUGAGCUUGAAUUGGGUUGAGGUUAGCGGAAUGAGUCAUGUAGCGGUGAAAUGCAUAGAUAUGACUUAGAACACCAAAUUGCGAAGGAGCUAACUGGGCCUUGAUUGACGCUGAGGCACGAAAGCGUGGGGAGCGAACAGGAUUAGAUACCCCGGUGUC